CCCCUAGUGAUGUCACUGCGUACGUCAACACCUUCAACUCAUGAGACCAAGCCCAUGCGCACACAGCUAUACAAACAAUAGUUCCAGUGUUAUCUAAAGGCUCAACAGUAAUUGUCCCCAAGUUGAUUUAUAGUGGUAUUUCUCACUCGUCUCUUAUCUCCCCUGCAGAGUUCUGUGUCUAUGAAUCUCUUUUAGCGUUGAGGCGGUUUCUCACAGACACCAUGUUUUGACUGCAAUAACUCACACUUCUCUCAGACCGUUUCUUUAUAAUAGACAGAGACUAGAAAAUAACUGUGGAACAAUAUUAAACCUUAUAAUGAAUAUAUAUAUAUAUAUAUAUAUAUAUAUAUAGUUAAUCUCUAGUCUAGGAACCUAUACAUGUAGUGGGGGAGGGGUCGUAUAGCCCCUCCCCUUCUAUUAAUACAACAUAAGCAUAAUCAAUUAUUAUAAUACAUUAAUCAUUUGGUGCAGCCCCUAUUAUGACCCCAAGGUGACCCCCAUCAAAUUUCUCCAAACGGAAAUAUUCCUGGUGAACGCAUCCCAACUGAACUAUUCCUGGUGAACUCAUCCCAACUGAACUAUUCCUGAUGAACUCAUCCAAACUGAACUAUUCCUGAUGAACUCGUCCAAACUGAAAUAUUCCUGGUUAACUCAUCCCAACUGAAAUAUUCCUGAUGAACUCAUCCCAACUGAACUAUUCCUGAUGAACUCGUCCCAACUGCAAUAUUACCGGUUUGAAACAGACUUCAGUUAGUUGGUGUCCACCCUAGUCUGUAUCGAUCUGGGAUGCAUUCCAAGUGGCACCCUAAAUCCCUUUAUCGUGCACUACUUAUGAAUAGGGCCCUAUGGGGAUGCAGACCUGGUGUAAGUACUUGCUGUUACUAUAGGCUCCAUUACCUACCAGCGGACCCUACCAGCGGACCCUACCAGCGGACCCUACCAGCGGACCCUACCAGCGGACCCUACCAGCGGACCCUACCAGCGGACCCUACCAGCGGACCCUACCAGCGGACCCUACCAGCGGACCCUACCAGCGGACCCUUAUCUCUCUCAUCACAAGGGUCUUCAACACAACUCCUGGAGAGCUUUUUGGAAGAAAAUUAAAAAAACAGAGGGGUACAUACCAAAUGGCAUCCUAUUCUCUUUGAAGUGCACUACUUUUGACCAGGGUAAUAGUAUGCCGUUUGUGACACACCCUCGAGUAUUCUCAGUCAAUUGUCAACCGGCUAAUCAGAAACCAAAGAUGACAGGAGAGCUUUAUAAUGGCUAGGUGAGAUGUGUUGAAUGGCACCUGUAUCGCUGUUGAACUAAAGUUAGCGUACUAGUGAUUAUGCAAUAUUAGUUUCUUCCUAUAUCAUAGGCUACAUUCAAACUUGUAGAGGGCAUUUAAAUUAGUGCAAUACAUAUUGGAUGGCUAUAAAGGUUUGUGUUACAGAAUAGAAUUAGCAGGUAUGCUCGUCUAGCUAAUAACCCCUACAGGAUAGAAUUAGUAGGUAUGCUAGUCUAGCUAAUAACCCUACAGGAUAAAAUUAGCAGGUAUGCUAGUCUAGCUAAUAACCCCUACAGGAUAGAAUUAGUAGGUAUGCUAGUCUAGCUAAUAACCCUACAGGAUAAAAUUAGCAGGUAUGCUAGUCUAGCUAAUAACCCCUACAGGAUAGAAUUAGCGGGUAUGCUAGUCUAGCUAAUAGCCCAUACAGGAUAGAAUUAGCAGGUAUGCUAGUCUAGCUAAUAACCCCUACAUGAUAGAAUUAGCAGGUAUGCUAGUCUAGCUAAUAGCCCCUACAGGAUAGAAUUAGCAGGUAUGCUAGUCUAGCUAAUAGCCCCUACAGGAUAGAAUUAGCAGGUAUGCUAGUCUAGCUAAUAGCCCCUACAGGAUAGAAUUAGCAGGUAUGCUAGUCUAGCUAAUAGCCCCUACAGGAUAGAAUUAGCAGGUAUGCUAGUCUAGCUAAUAGCCCCUACAGGAUAGAAUUAGCAGGUAUGCUAGUCUAGCUAAUAGCCCCUACAGGAUAGAAUUAGCAGGUAUGCUAGUCUAGCUAAUAGCCCAUACAGGAUAAAAUUAGCAGGUAUGCUAGUCUAGCUAAUAACCCCUACAUGAUAGAAUUAGCAGGUAUGCUAGUCUAGCUAAUAACCCCUACAUGAUAGAAUUAGCAGGUAUGCUAGUCUAGCUAAUAGCCCCUACAGGAUAGAAUUAGCAGGUAUGCUAGUCUAGCUAAUAGCCCCUACAGGAUAUAAUUAGUGGGUAUGCUAGUCGAGCUAAUAGCCCCUCUGGUUACAUUGUUCUGUAACGGCUCAUUUUCGAUUGAGCAAUUGAUGGAGCGGCAAGGUAGCCUAGUGGUUAGAGCGUAGAGCGUAACCGGAAGGUUGCGAGUUCAAACCCCCGAGCUGACAAGGUACAAAUCUGUCGUUCUGCCCCUGAACAGGCAGUUAACCCACUGUUCCCAGGCCGUCAUUGAAAAUAAGAAUGUGUUCUUAACUGACUUGCCUGGUUAAAUAAAGGUACAAUUU
Long non-coding RNA from Oncorhynchus keta (chum salmon), 2505 nucleotides. RefSeq lists it as uncharacterized. NCBI's taxonomy places the organism in Eukaryota, Metazoa, Chordata, Actinopteri, Salmoniformes, Salmonidae. The transcript is spliced from 2 exons. The record is from RefSeq and is a predicted model, not a curated record.